AUGGAGAGUGUUCCAGUGUUGAUUGUUGGUGCUGGGCCAGCAGGCCUUGCAACGGCAGCAUGCCUUGGUCAAUUCUCGAUUCCUUAUGCCAUCGUCGAGCGCGAGAGCUGUAGCGCGUCACUCUGGCGCAACCGUGCAUAUGAUCGCCUCAAGCUGCAUCUCGCAAAGGAGUUCUGUGAGUUGCCACACAUGUCAUACCCUGUAGAUGCACCAACAUACAUACCAAAAACCUUGUUUGUGAAGUACUUGGAUGACUAUGUUGAGCGUUUCAACAUUCAACCAAAGUAUCUCACCAGCGUGGAGUCAUCCACAUAUGACAAUGAUGAAAAAUGUUGGUCCAUUGUGGCAACGGACAUGUCAAAGUGCACCACAUUCAAGUUCACGGCAAAGUUUCUUGUUGUGGCAAGUGGUGAGAAUAGUGCAGAGAAUAUUCCAAUGAUCCCUGGACUAGAAAACUUUCCAGGUGAUGUCAUCCACUCCUCAAGCUACAAGUCAGGCAAGAGCUACUCUGGCAAGAAUGUAUUGGUCGUUGGAUCUGGCAACUCCGGGAUGGAAAUUGCUUAUGACCUUGCGACCCAUGGUGCCAAUACAUCGAUUGUUAUACGAAGCCCCAUUCAUGUAAUGACAAAGGAAUUAAUUCGUUUGGGGAUGACACUUGCUCACCAUCUUCCAUUGAAUCUAGUGGAUAAACUCCUUGUGAUGGCAGCAUAUUUAAUAUUUGGAGACCUGUCACGACAUGGCAUCACAAGGCCAAAAAUGGGUCCAAUGACCCUCAAAUCAGAAACAGGCCGAUCUGCGGUGAUUGAUGUUGGGACUGUUGGAUUGAUCAGAAAAGGCAUCAUCAAAGUUCAGGGGAGCAUUAGUAAGAUCAAGGGCAACAUAGUUAAAUUUCAAUGCAGUAAAAGAAUCUUAUUUGAUGCGAUUGUGUUUGCAACUGGAUACAAAAGCACGGCAAAUAUAUGGCUCAAGCUCUAUGCUUUUUUGAUCCAGAAUGGUGAGAGCAUGUUAAAUGGCAACGGACUGCCCAUCCAAAAAUAUCCGAAUCAUUGGAAAGGUGAAAAUGGGCUCUACUGUGCUGGGUUAGCGAGGAGAGGAUUAGCCGGUAUUGCAGCAGAUGCCAAGAAUAUCGCUAAUGACAUCAAAUCUGUGAUAGACUCUAUGUCAAGUUAA
This 1170-nucleotide ribosomal RNA is filed under the name Triticum aestivum (bread wheat). RNAcentral's name for it is "partial small subunit ribosomal RNA". Lineage: Eukaryota; Viridiplantae; Streptophyta; Magnoliopsida; Poales; Poaceae. The record is from RNAcentral.